Ictalurus punctatus (channel catfish) is the source of this 1299-nucleotide long non-coding RNA. The record is from Ensembl. NCBI's taxonomy places the organism in Eukaryota, Metazoa, Chordata, Actinopteri, Siluriformes, Ictaluridae.
AGAAAAAGGGAAAGUGUGGUCAUUAAUGAAGUGCUAUGUUUUCAAAGCCAGACGCUUGAACGUAAGUGCUUGGAUGUGAUGGUGCUUGGAUGAUGAUGAAAGACAGUGGUUUCACCCUCCCACCAAACUGACCCUAAAUCCACAUAAGAGUAUGGCUUUUCCUGCAUAUCCAGAGAGAGGAAGACCUGUGCAAACGCAUGAGCUACCCGGAAAGGAUGCUGGGAAGACUUCUCAGUUUUCUCAGUCCUCAUCUGUCCCUGCUGCUCCUCUCAGUCCGUUCAUGCAGAAGGGAAGGGAUGGAGCGAAGGGAGGCUCUGAAGGUGAGAAGCCGCUGAAGGGUGGUAGAGCAGCGAUUCUCUGCAGGUGUGGAAAGAAAGUGGGCGAUUUGGGCGCGUGGUCCAGGCGUGGCCCCUCAGCAUGGGCAGUGGGCAGCUCCGGAGGGGCGUAGCGAAUGGUGCUUGGAGCGUAAAGGCUCUGAGGCCCUGGAGGGCCGAGAGCAAGAGGGUGGAACAGUACACGCCCGGCUGCUCCACCCGCAGCUAGUCUCUGAAGAAGCUCGUAAUCAGGCGUGCGGCCUCCGUGGAGGCGAUCCUCCCUAGGCAGGGGUGAAGCUGAGAUGGGUGAAGGAGGGCUGAAGAGACCUUUAGCUGGAGCUUCUGUAGUGACUGACUCGGAAUCUUGGGAUGGGGGGCUGCUGCCAUUUAUACCCCUGGCGGACUGAGUGUUGCUCCAUCGCCCUCCAGUGGUUGAACAAACUCCAGUGCUCAACAUCUCCUGCUCAGUUUUAACAUUAGAGCUGGAGGUGCUGGUCACCACACUCUUCAGCUGCUGGAUUACAGCACGACCAUUACGCACUUUCCCAGUUUCACUGUUCUUCUUAGAGGCUCCCGCAUCGGUCUUCAGUCUCUUGCCAUUGUGCUCCCACUCCUCUUCCUUGUCCUCCUCUUCGUCUUCUUCAGCUUCACUGUCACUGGCUGAGUCCGAGGAGCCUGACAGGCUGUCCUCUCUAUGCCGGAAGACCUCGAGUUGUUGUCUCCUUGUUUGUGGAGGUGUGUUUUCAGGGCUGGAGUGGUAAGGCCUCUUCCUCCUGUUAUCUGAAUGGUUAGCAGUAAUGUGAGUGCAAGAGUCUCUCCCUUUGCGCUCAGACUCAUUUCGUCCAACUCCGCCCUUCGUCGGCUGGGCACCAUUCGGGCCUGGAAAGCAGACAGAAUUGACAUAAUAUAGAAAAAUGCUGUGUUUAUGUACAACCCCACUUCUAAAAAAGUUGGGACAGUAUUUAAAGUGUUAAGUAAAAACAAA